CUGGGUGGGGGUUAGAGUGGGGGCUCAGGUGCUGUGUUAGUAUUGGUGGGGGUUUGGGGGUGCAGGCAGGUGCUGUGGGGUGGGUGGGGGUUAGAGUGGGGGCUCAGGUGCUGUGUUAGUAUUGGUGGGGGUUUGGGGGUGCAGGCAGGUGCUGUGGGGUGGGUGGGGGUUAGAGUGGGGGCUCAGGUGCUGUGUUAGUAUUGGUGGGGGUUUGGGGGUGCAGGCAGGUGCUGUGGGGUGGGUGGGGGUUAGAGUGGGGG
Molecule: long non-coding RNA, 260 nt
Organism: Gopherus flavomarginatus (Mexican gopher tortoise)
Lineage: Eukaryota; Metazoa; Chordata; Testudines; Testudinidae
Exons: 4
Source: RefSeq, a predicted model, not a curated record